AGAGUUUGAUCAUGGCUCAGAGUGAACGCUGGCGGUAGGCCUAACACAUGCAAGUCGAACGGCAGCACAGGAGAGCUUGCUCUCUGGGUGGCGAGUGGCGGACGGGUGAGGAAUACAUCGGAAUCUACUCUGUCGUGGGGGAUAACGUAGGGAAACUUACGCUAAUACCGCAUACGACCUACGGGUGAAAGUGGGGGACCGCAAGGCCUCACGCGAUAGAAUGAGCCGAUGUCGGAUUAGCUAGUUGGCGGGGUAAAGGCCCACCAAGGCGACGAUCCGUAGCUGGUCUGAGAGGAUGAUCAGCCACACUGGAACUGAGACACGGUCCAGACUCCUACGGGAGGCAGCAGUGGGGAAUAUUGGACAAUGGGCGCAAGCCUGAUCCAGCCAUACCGCGUGAGUGAAGAAGGCCCUCGGGUUGUAAAGCUCUUUUGUUGGGAAAGAAAUCCUGUUGGCUAAUACCCGGCAGGGAUGACGGUACCCAAAGAAUAAGCACCGGCUAACUUCGUGCCAGCAGCCGCGGUAAUACGAAGGGUGCAAGCGUUACUCGGAAUUACUGGGCGUAAAGCGUGCGUAGGUGGAGGUUUAAGUCUGUUGUGAAAGCCCUGGGCUCAACCUGGGAAUUGCAGUGGAUACUGGAUCACUAGAGUGUGGUAGAGGGUGGCGGAAUUCCCGGUGUAGCAGUGAAAUGCGUAGAGAUCGGGAGGAACAUCCGUGGC
This 719-nucleotide ribosomal RNA is filed under the name uncultured bacterium. Its description in RNAcentral is "bacterial SSU rRNA". It matches the Rfam family "Bacterial small subunit ribosomal RNA", at positions 8 to 716 of the family's 1533-position model. The record is from RNAcentral.